GCGAGCGUGGCGGAAUUGGUAGACGCAGCGGACUUAAAAUCCGCAGAUCGUAAUGAUCAUAGGGGUUCGAGUCCCCUCGCUCGUACCA
This 88-nucleotide transfer RNA is filed under the name Alphaproteobacteria bacterium. RNAcentral describes it as "tRNA-Leu". It matches the Rfam family "tRNA". From Rfam's summary of the family: Transfer RNA (tRNA) molecules are approximately 80 nucleotides in length. RNAcentral also lists the same sequence under 4 other names. The record is from RNAcentral. Lineage: Bacteria; Pseudomonadati; Pseudomonadota; Alphaproteobacteria.